This is a non-coding RNA of Phalacrocorax carbo (great cormorant), 1837 nucleotides long. The record is from RefSeq and is a predicted model, not a curated record. Lineage: Eukaryota; Metazoa; Chordata; Aves; Suliformes; Phalacrocoracidae.
GUACCAUUAAAUCACACGCUUUCCCAGUCCCAGCCCGCACACUUUUUUCCCCCCACCUUGAACUCGGCUCAGCCACCGUCAGCUGGGCAGAAAAAGAGAAAAAAGGGGGGGCUUUUAAAACAGUAACACCGACCGCUCUAAUCUGUUUUAAUUACAGGGUUUGCCAAUCAAAGAGGGAGAGCGCAGAAAUUGGGAACUCCUGUAGGGGAUGGCUGUGUCCGAGGCUGGGAGAGCAAACGCAUCCCCUCGCACGCAGGUUUCAGUGCGUUCCCCGUAACAGGAAAUUUUCUCUUCCUUAAAUUAUAAUUGAACGAGCCCCGCAGCCCACUUGGAGAAAAGUUGGAAUUCUUCAUCGAGGUUUGCUGUUAAGAAAUUAAGCUUCUUGCUGGGUGACCGAAAAGCUGCGCAGGGAUUUCCAGUCCACGUUGAAAUGAAACAGUCCUCUUUAUUUAGUCUCAGAACUCCAGCUUUCAGCCACGGGCUCAAUUAGCCAAAAUGGAAACAAUUUUCAUUCAUUGCAAUAACUCACUGUUCUGCUGAUCACUUUCAAAAUAUACACUUUAUUAUUAUACGCUGACCUCGGUGCCGCGAAGUGGCAAGGCUAGAAAGAGGCAGAGGGAUCUCUCCAGCCCCCUUGGGCUGUAAUUAUUAGAAAUUAAUUGGGUUCAGGACCCUGGGUAGCAUGGGUAAAUUAAUAGCUUGUCUGGUUGUUUAAAUCCGAAUUCUCGGUGCCGAGGAGAGCAGGGGAGGGAGGCUCUCCCUCCCCACACCCGCCCCGGGAGAGCGCGCCGAGGGCUGGGGCAGCGCCGACCCGCCGGCUGCUUUUCCUCCUUCUUUUUCACCAACCGCAUUGUUUUCGGGGAGCUAUUUAGGGGUUAAAAAUCAAAAAAUAAAGAUCCUGUAUACUUGGAGCUGUCGUGCUGGAGUAAAAGUGAAAAGGGAGCCUUAGGCAAAAGGAAAUUACUGCGAGCCCGCGUGACCUUUCCGAGAGGUAAUCAAUCAAGUGAUCAACAGGGAUAUUUAUCAUUGCUCGAUGGGGCUACUUUACAAAUGCACAGAAGGGGGGGGGGGGGGCGGGGGUACAGACACACACACAGAGAAAAAAAAGUUUGGAUAAACCCGGUAAGUCUGAAGACAAAUGCGGAGGCUUUAAUCACCGGGAAGAUUGCACAUUUGCUUUUGCUGAGCUCUCAGAAGGAAAGGAAGGGAGAAAAACCGCUCCAAAGUUUGCCAGUAGAAAAUGCCUCCUGUACUAGGUGGUCACAUGGAGGCUGUCCACUUUGCUUUGCAGUCCUGGGAAAGGCUGGGAACGACAGAUGCGAUUAAAAAAAAAACAAAAAACACACACACACCAAAAAACCCCCCACUAAAUCCAAGGGAAAAUAAUAGAGAGAGAUUGAGGCUUUGAUAACCGGGCUCGGUGUUUGGUUUUAUGUAAUGUGUUUGUAUUUGCUGGCUCGAAACUGGGAGGCUGCGGAGCCCGGUCCUGCCUGCCUCUAGCCCCCGAAACGGUUAACUCCGAAAACAAAACAACAAAAAAAAAAAAAAAAGAAAAAAAGAAAAAGAAAAAAAAAACCCACUCCAUGCCCCCUACUAUAUGAAAUCAGCGAUCUGGUUCAAUUAAACUUGCUCUCCGUAGCAUAAAGCAUCCACCACAAUACAGGCAAUGAAAACCAACAAUAAAAGCCCAUGCAUUUUCUGCGCAGUUUCCUUCUCCCUUGUAAAACAUGCCGUCGUGUAAGCACCAGACAUUUAAUUUUGCUCCCUAUAACUUACCGGAUUCCUUAACAAACCUACUACGACCACUUUUUUUUUCCUUUUUCUUUUCUUCUCCCCG